GGUGAACGCUGGCGGCGUGCCUAAUACAUGCAAGCCGAGCGAACGGACGAGAAGCUUGCUUCUCUGAUGUUAGCGGCGGACGGGUGAGUAACACGUGGAUAACCUACCUAUAAGACUGGGAUAACUUCGGGAAACCGUAGCUAAUACCGGAUAAUAUUUUGAACCGCAUGGUUCAAAAGUGAAAGACGGUCUUGCUGUCACUUAUAGAUGGAUCCGCGCUGCAUUAGCUAGUUGGUAAGGUAACGGCUUACCAAGGCAACGAUGCAUAGCCGACCUGAGAGGGUGAUCGGCCACACUGGAACUGAGACACGGUCCAGACUCCUACGGGAGGCAGCAGUAGGGAAUCUUCCGCAAUGGGCGAAAGCCUGACGGAGCAACGCCGCGUGAGUGAUGAAGGUCUUCGGAUCGUAAAACUCUGUUAUUAGGGAAGAACAUAUGUGUAAGUAACUGUGCACAUCUUGACGGUACCUAAUCAGAAAGCCACGGCUAACUACGUG
RNAcentral lists this ribosomal RNA (497 nucleotides) under uncultured bacterium. RNAcentral describes it as "partial 16S ribosomal RNA". It matches the Rfam family "Bacterial small subunit ribosomal RNA", at positions 28 to 507 of the family's 1533-position model. The record is from RNAcentral.